GAUGAACGCUGGCGGCGUGCCUAAUACAUGCAAGUCGAGCGAACGGACGAGAAGCUUGCUUCUCUGAUGUUAGCGGCGGACGGGUGAGUAACACGUGGAUAACCUACCUAUAAUACUGGGAUAACUUCGGGAAACCGGUGCUAAUACCGGAUAAUAUUUUGAACCGCAUGGUUCAAAAGUGAAAGACGGUCUUGCUGUCACUUUUAGAUGGAUCCGCGGUGCAUUAGGUAGUUGGUAAGGUAACGCCUUAGCAAGGCAACGAUGCAUGGCCGACAUGAGAGGGGUAACGGCCCAACUGGAACUGAGACACGGUCCAGACCCCUACGGGAGGCAGCAGUAGGGAAUCUUUCGCAAUGGGCGAAAGCCUUACGGAGCCACGCCGCGUGAGUGAAGAAGGUCUUCGGAUCGUAAAACUCUGUUAUUAGGGAAGAACAUAUGUGUAAGUAACUGCGCACAUCUUGACCGUAACUAAACAGAAAGCCACGGCUAACUACGGGC
This 498-nucleotide ribosomal RNA is filed under the name uncultured bacterium. Its description in RNAcentral is "partial 16S ribosomal RNA". It matches the Rfam family "Bacterial small subunit ribosomal RNA", at positions 28 to 508 of the family's 1533-position model. The record is from RNAcentral.